UACGUAGGGCGCAAGCGUUGUCCGGAAUUAUUGGGCGUAAAGAGCUCGUAGGCGGCCUGUCGCGUCGGUUGUGAAAGCCCGGGGCUUAACCCCGGGUCUGCAGUCGAUACGGGCAGGCUAGAGUUCGGUAGGGGAGAUCGGAAUUCCUGGUGUAGCGGUGGAAUGCGCAGAUAUCAGGAGGAACACCGGUGGCGAAGGCGGAUCUCUGGGCCGAUACUGACGCUGAGGAGCGAAAGCGUGGGGAGCAAACAGG
This 253-nucleotide ribosomal RNA is filed under the name uncultured prokaryote. RNAcentral's name for it is "partial 16S ribosomal RNA". It matches the Rfam family "Bacterial small subunit ribosomal RNA", at positions 524 to 776 of the family's 1533-position model. The record is from RNAcentral.